CUACGGGGUGCUGCAGUGAGGAAUUUUGCGCAAUGGGGGAAACCCUGACGCAGCAACGCCGCGUGAGUGAAGAAGGCCCUUGGGUCGUAAAGCUCUGUCAAUGGGGAAGAAGUUAUUAUGUGUUAAUAGCACAUUUUAUUGACGGUACCCAUGAAGGAAGCACCGGCUAGCUCCGUGCCAGCAGCCGCGGUAAUACGGGGGGUGCAAGCGUUAUUCGGAAUUAUUGGGCGUAAAGGGCAUGCAGGCGGUCCUGUCAGUCAGAUGUGAAAGCCCGGGGCUCAACCCCGGACGUGCAUUUGAAACAGGAGGACUUGAGUGCGGGAGAGGAAAGGGGAAUUCCUGGUGUAGAGGUGAAAUUCGUAGAUAUCAGGAGGAACACCGGUGGCGAAGGCGCCUUUCUGGACCGAUACUGACGCUGAGGUGCGAAGGCGUGGGUAGCGAACGGGAUUAGAUACCCUCGUAGUC
RNAcentral lists this ribosomal RNA (465 nucleotides) under uncultured bacterium. RNAcentral describes it as "partial 16S ribosomal RNA". It matches the Rfam family "Bacterial small subunit ribosomal RNA", at positions 339 to 795 of the family's 1533-position model. The record is from RNAcentral.